This 252-nucleotide ribosomal RNA is filed under the name uncultured bacterium. Its description in RNAcentral is "partial 16S ribosomal RNA". It matches the Rfam family "Bacterial small subunit ribosomal RNA", at positions 524 to 776 of the family's 1533-position model. The record is from RNAcentral.
UACAGAGGUCCCAAGCGUUGUUCGGAUUACUGGGCGUAAAGGGUGCGUAGGUGGUUGGGUAAGUUUGAUGUGAAAUCUCCGGGCUUAACCCGGAAACUGCAUUGAAUACUAUCUGGCUAGAGGGUUGGAGGGGGGACUGGAAUACUUGGUGUAGCAGUGAAAUGCGUAGAUAUCAAGUGGAACACCAGUGGCGAAGGCGAGUCCCUGGACAACUCCUGACACUGAGGCACGAAAGCUAGGGGAGCAAACAGG